RNAcentral lists this transfer RNA (73 nucleotides) under Patescibacteria group bacterium. Its description in RNAcentral is "tRNA-Arg". It matches the Rfam family "tRNA". From Rfam's summary of the family: Transfer RNA (tRNA) molecules are approximately 80 nucleotides in length. The record is from RNAcentral.
GAUCCCGUAGCUCAAUGGAUAGAGCAGCGCCCUUCUAAGGCGAAGGUUGAUGGUUCGAGUCCAUCCGGGAUCA